UCGACACUAUGCUGGUAGAGGAGGCAGCAGUGUCGUUCGCGUGCGCUUCCCUGGAUUGUGCCGUACAAAGGAAGGAGAGGGAAGAGGUGGUGUCGAGGGCUUACCUAGACCAAGUUGAAGUCAAAAAAAAGAAAACAGGAAGUUGUGCUCGUGUGCGUGUGGAGGAAGAGAAGGAAGGAGGGGUGGUGGCAUGCUUUGGGUCAAAGUUGAGCAAGGGAGGAGGUCGACUAUGCUCGCAUAACAGAUUAAGGAGAGUCUGUGACAAGAAGGGAUCGAAGGAAGGAGGAAGGCAGGCUCGCGUGGUUGAGCAUGGGUUAGGCAGAGCCGAGUAUAGGAUCGAAGUUAUUUAAUUUUCAAAUUUUAAGGGAGGAGUAACACGAAUUUCAUGUGAGAGAGAAAACAAAGAAUGUCAGCACCGAAAAGAUUUUAAGAGCUCUGAAUAUAGAGAUUUCAGCUUUGAAUGAGGUUUACGAAGCAAGCAAGGGGAAGAGAUCAACUUGAAAGCCUG
This is a long non-coding RNA of Phalaenopsis equestris, 508 nucleotides long. RefSeq lists it as uncharacterized. The transcript has 3 exons. NCBI's taxonomy places the organism in Eukaryota, Viridiplantae, Streptophyta, Magnoliopsida, Asparagales, Orchidaceae. The record is from RefSeq and is a predicted model, not a curated record.